RNAcentral lists this microRNA precursor (97 nucleotides) under Medicago truncatula (barrel medic). Its description in RNAcentral is "miR5279 stem-loop (mtr-MIR5279)". Lineage: Eukaryota; Viridiplantae; Streptophyta; Magnoliopsida; Fabales; Fabaceae. The record is from miRBase by way of RNAcentral.
UGAAUCGGAACCACUCGGAUGACUCGGUUAGAUAACUCGAUCCUUAGAUUAAAUUUAUAUAGUUAUUUAACCGGAUUAACUCGGUGACUCGGCCACU